Molecule: non-coding RNA, 85 nt
Organism: Podarcis lilfordi (Lilford's wall lizard)
Lineage: Eukaryota; Metazoa; Chordata; Lepidosauria; Squamata; Lacertidae
Source: the annotation of a GenBank genome assembly
UUUUACCAUUUGUAUAGCUCAGUUUGGUACCGCAUGAGAAUCUUAAUCUCAGGUUCAUGGGUUUGAACCCCAUAUUGGGUGAAAU